Molecule: long non-coding RNA, 299 nt
Organism: Xiphophorus couchianus (Monterrey platyfish)
Lineage: Eukaryota; Metazoa; Chordata; Actinopteri; Cyprinodontiformes; Poeciliidae
Exons: 2
Source: RefSeq, a predicted model, not a curated record
GGUUAAAAAUUGGCAAUUGGGUAAUAGGAGGAAACAUAAAAUCAUAAAGGUAAAAUUAAGCAGGAGCAGAAGGGGACAAGAGGCAAAUCUGCCACAAUGUGCUGGUCACGACAACAUGAGAGGGGGGUGAUGGUCAGAGAUGGUUGGAACCAAAUAUAGGACAGUCUGGGAAGAAAACCUGAUGGAGUCUGCAGAAGACCUGAGACUGGGACAGAGCUUCAGCUUCCAGCAGAACAACGACCCUAAACAUAAAGCCAGGGAUACAAUGGAAUGGAUUAAAGCAAAAUGUAUCAGUGUUA